RNAcentral lists this ribosomal RNA (492 nucleotides) under uncultured bacterium. RNAcentral's name for it is "partial 16S ribosomal RNA". It matches the Rfam family "Bacterial small subunit ribosomal RNA", at positions 29 to 507 of the family's 1533-position model. The record is from RNAcentral.
AGUGAACGCUGGCGGUAGGCCUAACACAUGCAAGUCGAACGGCAGCACAGUAAGAGCUUGCUCUUACGGGUGGCGAGAGACGGACGGGUGAGGAAUACAUCGGAAUCUACUUUUUCGUGGGGGAUAACGUAGGGAAACUUACGCUAAUACCGCAUACGACCUACGGGUGAAAGCAGGGGAUCUUCGGACCUUGCGCGAUUGAAUGAGCCGAUGUCGGAUUAGCUAGUUGGCGGGGUAAAGGCCCACCAAGGCGACGAUCCGUAGCUGGUCUGAGAGGAUGAUCAGCCACACUGGAACUGAGACACGGUCCAGACUCCUACGGGAGGCAGCAGUGGGGAAUAUUGGACAAUGGGCGCAAGCCUGAUCCAGCCAUACCGCGUGGGUGAAGAAGGCCUUCGGGUUGUAAAGCCCUUUUGUUGGGAAAGAAAAGCAGCAGGUUAAUACCCCGCUGUUCUGACGGUACCCAAAGAAUAAGCACCGGCUAACUUCGUG